This 398-nucleotide ribosomal RNA is filed under the name uncultured bacterium. RNAcentral describes it as "partial 16S ribosomal RNA". It matches the Rfam family "Bacterial small subunit ribosomal RNA", at positions 338 to 732 of the family's 1533-position model. The record is from RNAcentral.
CCUACGGGAGGCAGCAGUGAGGAAUAUUGGUCAAUGGGCGUGCGCCUGAACCAGCCAAGUCGCGUGAGGGAAGACUGUCCUAUGGGUUGUAAACCUCUUUAGGCGGGGAGCAAUGCCGGGCACGCGUGCCCGGAGGGAGAGUACCCGCAGAAUAAGCAUCGGCUAACUCCGUGCCAGCAGCCGCGGUAAUACGGAGGAUGCGAGCGUUAUCCGGAUUUAUUGGGUUUAAAGGGUGCGUAGGCGGUAAUGCAAGUCUGGGGUGAAAGGCGGGGGCCCAACCCCCGGACUGCCGUGGAAACUGUGGAACUGGAGUGCAGGAGAGGUAGGCGGAAUUCCUAGUGUAGCGGUGAAAUGCGUAGAUAUCAGGAGGAACACCAGUGGCGAAGGCGGCCUGCCGG